AUUAAAGAGUUCUAUAACUCCCAAACCCAUGUGAACAUACCUAACGUUGCCUCGGCAGGUCGCACCUACCUUGUAGCACCCUACCCUGUAGGGCCUACCCGGGAGGUGCGGGUAAGCCUGCCGGCGGCCCACCAAACUCUGUUUGAUAUUGAAUUCUGAACCUAUAACUAAAUAAGUUAAAACUUUCAACAACGGAUCUCUUGGUUCUGGCAUCGAUGAAGAACGCAGCGAAAUGCGAUAAGUAAUGUGAAUUGCAGAAUUCAGUGAAUCAUCGAAUCUUUGAACGCAUAUUGCGCCCAUUAGUAUUCUAGUGGGCAGGACCGUUCGAGCGUCAUUUCAACCCUUAAGCCUUCGUUGCUUAGUGUUGGGAGCCUACGGCAACGUAGCUCCUCAAAGUUAGUGGCGGAGUUGGUUCACACUCUAGACGUAGUAAUUUUUUAUCUCGCCUAUUAGUUGGACUAAUCCCCUGCCGUAAAACCCCCAAUUUAUCAAGGUUGACCUCGAAUCGGUUCAGACAAACUCGCUAAAUUGAAGCAUCUUAGUCAGCGAAGGAAAAGAAACCAACAGGGAUUGCCCUAGUAACGGCGAGUGAAGCGGCAACAGCUCAAAUUUGAAAUCUGGCCCUCG
Molecule: ribosomal RNA, 627 nt
Filed under: fungal endophyte
Lineage: Eukaryota; Fungi
Description: eukaryotic LSU rRNA
Rfam family: 5.8S ribosomal RNA (bases 181-334)
Source: RNAcentral